AGCAGCCGCGGUAAUUCCAGCUCCAAUAGCGUAUAUUAAAGUUGUUGCAGUUAAAAAGCUCGUAGUUGAAUUUCGGGAUCAAGUCGUCGGUCGUGCUCAGGUACGUACUGGCGUCAUUGAUUUCUCCCUUCUGACGAACCAUGAUGUCAUUAACUUGGUGUCAUGGGAAAUCAGGACUGUUACUUUGAAAAAAUUAGAGUGUUUAAAGCAGGCUCACGCUUGAGUACAUUAGCAUGGAAUAAUGAAACAGGACGUUCGAUCCUAUUUUGUUGGUUUUAGGAUCAACGUAAUGAUUAAUAGGGAUAGUUAGGGCAUUAGUAUUCAAUUGUCAGAGGUGAAAUUCUUGGAUUUAUUGAAGACUAACUACUGCGAAAGCAUUUGCCAAGGAUGUUUUCAUUAAUCAAGAACGAAAGUUAGGGGAUCGAAGACGAUCAGAUACCGUCGUAGUCUUAACCAUAAACUAUGCCGACUAGGGAUCGGAUGAUGUUAAUUUUUAAUGA
This 500-nucleotide ribosomal RNA is filed under the name uncultured Glomus. Its description in RNAcentral is "SSU rRNA". It matches the Rfam family "Eukaryotic small subunit ribosomal RNA", at positions 569 to 1074 of the family's 1831-position model. Lineage: Eukaryota; Fungi; Glomeromycota; Glomeromycetes; Glomerales; Glomeraceae. The record is from RNAcentral.